This 416-nucleotide RNase P RNA is filed under the name Rhodobacterales bacterium. RNAcentral describes it as "RNase P RNA component class A". It matches the Rfam family "Bacterial RNase P class A". From Rfam's summary of the family: Ribonuclease P (RNase P) is a ubiquitous endoribonuclease, found in archaea, bacteria and eukarya as well as chloroplasts and mitochondria. Lineage: Bacteria; Pseudomonadati; Pseudomonadota; Alphaproteobacteria; Rhodobacterales. The record is from RNAcentral.
GCGGAGGGCUGGAUGGCCGCUUGCCGGGAUGACCCGGUGGGAGGAAAGUCCGGACUCCACAAGGCAACGGUGCCGGGUAACGCCCGGCGGGGGCAACCCCAGGGAAAGCGCCACAGAGAACAGACCGCCCAACACAGGCCGCUUCGGCAGCCCAUUUGGGUAAGGGUGAAACGGUGGGGUAAGAGCCCACCGCGGGACGGGCAACCGGACCGGCACGGCAAGCCCCACCGGGAGCAAUGCCAAAUAGGGAUCGCGCGCGGGACGGGUUGGGCAACCAAAACCGCCGCAAGCCGCCUUGGCCCAGCGAUCCGGGUUGGCAGCUGGAGAUGCGUCGGCAACGGCGGGUCUAGAUGAAUGGCCAUCCAGGGUGGGGCGACCUGCCUGGACAGAAUCCGGCUUACAGGCCCUCCGCGUGU